This 253-nucleotide ribosomal RNA is filed under the name uncultured bacterium. RNAcentral describes it as "partial 16S ribosomal RNA". It matches the Rfam family "Bacterial small subunit ribosomal RNA", at positions 524 to 776 of the family's 1533-position model. The record is from RNAcentral.
UACAGAGGGUGCGAGCGUUACUCGGAAUUACUGGGCGUAAAGCGUGCGUAGACGGUUAUUUAAGUCGGAUGUGAAAGCCCCGGGCUCAACCUGGGAAUUGCAUUCGAGACUGAAUAGCUAGGGUGCGGUAGAGGGAAGCGGAAUUUCCGGUGUAGCGGUGAAAUGCGUAGAUAUCGGAAGGAACAUCAGUGGCGAAAGCGACUUCCUGGACCAAUACUGACGCUCAUGUGCGAAAGCGUGGGGAGCAAACAGG